RNAcentral lists this unclassified non-coding RNA (331 nucleotides) under soil metagenome. RNAcentral's name for it is "partial contains 5.8S ribosomal RNA, internal transcribed spacer 2, and large subunit ribosomal RNA". The stretch from base 1 to 120 matches the Rfam family "5.8S ribosomal RNA", at positions 35 to 154 of the family's 154-position model. The record is from RNAcentral.
GAUGAAGAACGCAGCGAAAUGCGAUAAGUAAUGUGAAUUGCAGAAUUCAGUGAAUCAUCGAAUCUUUGAACGCACAUUGCGCCCCCUGGUAUUCCGGGGGGCAUGCCUGUUCGAGCGUCAUUUCACCACUCAAGCCUCGCUUGGUAUUGGGCAACGCGGUCCGCCGCGUGCCUCAAAUCGACCGGCUGGGUCUUCUGUCCCCUAAGCGUUGUGGAAACUAUUCGCUAAAGGGUGUUCGGGAGGCUACGCCGUAAAACAACCCCAUUUCUAAGGUUGACCUCGGAUCAGGUAGGGAUACCCGCUGAACUUAAGCAUAUCAAUAAGCGGAGAA